Molecule: ribosomal RNA, 657 nt
Filed under: uncultured Pseudomonadota bacterium
Lineage: Bacteria; Pseudomonadati; Pseudomonadota
Description: bacterial SSU rRNA
Rfam family: Bacterial small subunit ribosomal RNA
Source: RNAcentral
CUAACACAUGCAAGUCGAACGGUAACAGGAAACAGCUUGCUGUUUCGCUGACGAGUGGCGGACGGGUGAGUAAUGUCUGGGAAACUGCCUGAUGGAGGGGGAUAACUACUGGAAACGGUAGCUAAUACCGCAUAACGUCGCAAGAACAAAGAGGGGGACCCUCGGGCCUCUUGCCAUCGGAUGUGCCCAGAUGGGAUUAGCUUGUUGGUGGGGUAACGGCUCACCAAGGCGACGAUCCCUAGCUGGUCUGAGAGGAUGACCAGCCACACUGGAACUGAGACACGGUCCAGACUCGUACGGGAGNCAGCAUUGGGGAAUAUUGGCACAAUGGGCGCAAGCCUGAUGCAGCCAUGCCGCGUGUAUGAAGAAGGCCUUCGGUUUGUAAAGUACUUUCAGCGGGGAGGAAGGGAGUAAAGUUAAUACCUUUGCUCAUGGACGUUACCCGCAGAAGAAGCACCGGCUAACUCCGUGCCAGCAGCCGCGGUAAUACGGAGGGUGCAAGCGUUAAUCGGAAUUACUGGGCGUAAAGCGCACGCAGGCGGUUUGUUAAGUCAGAUGCGAAAUCCCCGGGCUCAACCUGGGAACUGCAUCUGAUACUGGCAAGCUUGAGUCUCGUAGAGGGGGGUAGAAUUCCAGGUGUAGCGGUGAAAUGCGUAG